RNAcentral lists this ribosomal RNA (253 nucleotides) under Chitinophagaceae bacterium. RNAcentral describes it as "partial 16S ribosomal RNA". It matches the Rfam family "Bacterial small subunit ribosomal RNA", at positions 524 to 776 of the family's 1533-position model. Lineage: Bacteria; Pseudomonadati; Bacteroidota; Chitinophagia; Chitinophagales; Chitinophagaceae. The record is from RNAcentral. RNAcentral also lists the same sequence under 1 other name.
GACGAAGGAUGCAAGCGUUAUCCGGAUUCAUUGGGUUUAAAGGGAGCGUAGGUGGCCUGCUAAGUCAGUGGUGAAAUCUCUGGGCUUAACCCAGAAAUUGCCGUUGAUACUGGUGGGCUUGAGUGCAGAUGCCGUUGGCGGAAUAUGACAUGUAGUGGUGAAAUACAUAGAGAUGUCAUAGAACACCGAUUGCGAAGGCAGCUGACGAAACUGUAACUGACACUGAGGCUCGAAAGUGUGGGGAUCAAACAGG